Molecule: unclassified non-coding RNA, 404 nt
Filed under: soil metagenome
Description: partial contains 5.8S ribosomal RNA, internal transcribed spacer 2, and large subunit ribosomal RNA
Rfam family: 5.8S ribosomal RNA (bases 1-121)
Source: RNAcentral
GAUGAAGAACGUAGUGAAAUGCGAUAAGUAAUGUGAAUUGCAGAAUUCAGUGAAUCAUCGAAUCUUUGAACGCACCUUGCGCCCUUUGGCCAUUCCGAAGGGCAUGCCUGUUUGAGUAUCAUGAACACCUCAACUCUUUAUGGUUUUCCAUGAUGAGCUUGGACUCUGGGGGUUUUGUUGGCUCACAGUCGGCUCCUCUAAAAUGAAUCAGCUUACCAGUGUUUGGUGGGUAUCAUGGGUGUGAUAACUAUCUACGCUUGUGGUUUUUCCACCAGGUAACCUUCAGCAGUGGAGGUUCGCUGGAGCUCAUAGAUGUCUCUCCUCAGUGAGGACAGCCCUUUGAAUGUUUGAUCUCAAAUCAGGUAGGACUACCCGCUGAACUUAAGCAUAUAAUAAGCGGAGGA